CUCCUCCUUAACUAAGAGUCUGGUGUUUUUGUUGUCUUGUUGUCCCUACUAUAAGUCCAAAUGUAUAGAGGUAUCCCUUAGCCUUGGCCGACACCUACACCCUUUUUCUUUUAGGGAUUUACGUAGAGACUUUGUUACCGUAAAAAAGUCACUUACUUGAUUCUGAUCGUCAAGUAAAAAUAAGACAACCCCCUUAGAUAAAACCUGCUUUAAGACUUGUGAAAAGUUACACUAUCGUCGACGGUGAUAGAGUUCUUACUCCUCUUUAACUAAGAGUCUAGUGUUUCUUGGUGUAUCGUCGUUCCCACUAUAAGUCCAACUGUAUAGAGGUAUCUGUUAGAUUGGACAUGUCCCUACUCAUUCUAUACUUUUUGAAGUUAACUUUCGUGGCGUUUCGGGUUCUUAUCAUGUUACCCGAGCUGUAACCAACUUGUAUCCCAAGAACGUACGUUCACAUACCGGCCCAUUUAUUCAUGCACUAAUUAUACAACCCUUUUCGUCAUUACCAGCUCGUUUUACUUAUCCUAUCUGUGUUAGAAGAGGGUGGUUCAAUGACCAGUUCUAUGAUAUAGCUUACGCUGUAACGA
This 587-nucleotide ribosomal RNA is filed under the name Triticum aestivum (bread wheat). Its description in RNAcentral is "partial small subunit ribosomal RNA". Lineage: Eukaryota; Viridiplantae; Streptophyta; Magnoliopsida; Poales; Poaceae. The record is from RNAcentral.